Molecule: ribosomal RNA, 738 nt
Filed under: Pseudarthrobacter sp.
Lineage: Bacteria; Bacillati; Actinomycetota; Actinomycetes; Micrococcales; Micrococcaceae
Description: bacterial SSU rRNA
Rfam family: Bacterial small subunit ribosomal RNA
Source: RNAcentral
CUGGUGCUUGCACCGGGGAUUAGUGGCGAACGGGUGAGUAACACGUGAGUAACCUGCCCUUGACUCUGGGAUAAGCCUGGGAAACUGGGUCUAAUACCGGAUAUGACCUUCCAUCGCAUGGUGGUUGGUGGAAAGCUUUUGUGGUUUUGGAUGGACUCGCGGCCUAUCAGCUUGUUGGUGGGGUAAUGGCCUACCAAGGCGACGACGGGUAGCCGGCCUGAGAGGGUGACCGGCCACACUGGGACUGAGACACGGCCCAGACUCCUACGGGAGGCAGCAGUGGGGAAUAUUGCACAAUGGGCGCAAGCCUGAUGCAGCGACGCCGCGUGAGGGAUGACGGCCUUCGGGUUGUAAACCUCUUUCAGUAGGGAAGAAGCCGUGAGGUGACGGUACCUGCAGAAGAAGCGCCGGCUAACUACGUGCCAGCAGCCGCGGUAAUACGUAGGGCGCAAGCGUUAUCCGGAAUUAUUGGGCGUAAAGAGCUCGUAGGCGGUUUGUCGCGUCUGCCGUGAAAGUCCGGGGCUCAACUCCGGAUCUGCGGUGGGUACGGGCAGACUAGAGUGAUGUAGGGGAGACUGGAAUUCCUGGUGUAGCGGUGAAAUGCGCAGAUAUCAGGAGGAACACCGAUGGCGAAGGCAGGUCUCUGGGCAUUAACUGACGCUGAGGAGCGAAAGCAUGGGGAGCGAACAGGAUUAGAUACCCUGGUAGUCCAUGCCGUAAACGUUGGGCACUAGGUGU